AAACGUGAGGGUGAUCUGGCGGUGACAUCUGUCAUCCUAUUGAUGGCAGGGUUGAUUGGGUUGAUCUGGCUGGCUAGGCAGGUGUCCCCUUCCUCCCUCACCGCCCUGUGCAUUCCUCCUGAAGCUGCACACUCAGUCUAAGAGGACAACCAUCCUCGAUAGAGGAGGACCGUUCUUCAGUCAAGGGUAUAGGAGUAGCUGCACUCUUCUUCUGGAACCUUCCCACAAGUUCUCAAGGUCCAAAUAUGGCAGCCAGGAAAGAGGCAAGUGGAGGAAGCUGGGAGUAUCCUGGGAGCAGUGGGUGGGGUCUCCUGCUGCUGUGU
This 323-nucleotide small nuclear RNA is filed under the name Piliocolobus tephrosceles (Ugandan red Colobus). Its description in RNAcentral is "7SK RNA (ENSPTEG00000027073.1)". It matches the Rfam family "7SK RNA". Rfam says of the family: 7SK was discovered as an abundant small nuclear RNA in the mid-70s but a possible function has only recently been suggested. Two independent studies have found that 7SK RNA binds the CDK9/cyclin T complex (known as elongation factor P-TEFb). P-TEFb activates transcription by phosphorylating the C-terminal domain of RNA polymerase II. The record is from Rfam by way of RNAcentral. Lineage: Eukaryota; Metazoa; Chordata; Mammalia; Primates; Cercopithecidae.